CAGGGAUUGCCCUAGUAACGGCGAGUGAAGCGGCAACAGCUCAAAUUUGAAAUCUGGCCUCUUUUGGGGUCCGAGUUGUAAUUUGCAGAGGGCGCUUUGGCGUUGGCAGCGGUCCAAGUUCCUUGGAACAGGACGUCACAGAGGGUGAGAAUCCCGUACGUGGUCGCUGGCCUUCGCCGUGUAAAGCCCCUUCGACGAGUCGAGUUGUUUGGGAAUGCAGCUCUAAAUGGGAGGUAAAUUUCUUCUAAAGCUAAAUACUGGCCAGAGACCGAUAGCGCACAAGUAGAGUGAUCGAAAGAUGAAAAGCACUUUGGAAAGAGAGUCAAACAGCACGUGAAAUUGUUGAAAGGGAAGCGCUUGCAGCCAGACUUGCCUGUAGUUGCUCAUCCGGGCUUUUGCCCGGUGCACUCUUCUAUAGGCAGGCCAGCAUCAGUUUGGGCGGUUAGAUAAAGGUCUCUGUCAUGUACCUCUCUUCGGGGAGAACUUAUAGGGGAGACGACAUGUAACCAGCCCAGAUUGAGGUCCGCGCAUUUGCUAGGAUGCUGGCGUAAUGGCUGUAAGCGGCCCGUCUUGAAACACGGACCAAGGAGUCUAACAUCUAUGCGAGUGUUUGGGUGUCAAGCCCGAGCGCGCAAUGAAAGUGAACGGAGGUGGGAACCCCUCGGGGUGCACCAUCGACCGAUCCUGAUGUCUUCGGAUGGAUUUGAGUAAGAGCAUAGCUGUUGGGACCCGAAAGAUGGUGAACUAUGCUUGAAUAGGGUGAAGCCAGAGGAAACUCUGGUGGAGGCUCGCAGCGGUUCUGACGUGCAAAUCGAUCGUCAAAUUUGGGCAUA
This 833-nucleotide ribosomal RNA is filed under the name Thyrostroma compactum. RNAcentral's name for it is "eukaryotic LSU rRNA". It matches the Rfam family "Eukaryotic large subunit ribosomal RNA", at positions 69 to 919 of the family's 3401-position model. The record is from RNAcentral. Lineage: Eukaryota; Fungi; Ascomycota; Dothideomycetes.